This 451-nucleotide ribosomal RNA is filed under the name uncultured bacterium. RNAcentral describes it as "partial 16S ribosomal RNA". It matches the Rfam family "Bacterial small subunit ribosomal RNA", at positions 354 to 796 of the family's 1533-position model. The record is from RNAcentral.
GUGGGGAAUAUUGGACAAUGGGGGGAACCCUGAUCCAGCCAUGCCGCGUGUGUGAAGAAGGCCUUUUGGUUGUAAAGCACUUUAAGCGAGGAGGAGGCUACCGAGAUUAAUACUCUUGGAUAGUGGACGUUACUCGCAGAAUAAGCACCGGCUAACUCUGUGCCAGCAGCCGCGGUAAUACAGAGGGUGCAAGCGUUAAUCGGAUUUACUGGGCGUAAAGCGCGCGUAGGUGGCCAAUUAAGUCAAAUGUGAAAUCCCCGAGCUUAACUUGUGAAUUGCAUUCGAUACUGGUUGGCUAGAGUAUGGGAGAGGAUGGUAGAAUUCCAGUUGUAGCGGUGAAAUGCGUAGAGAUCUGGAGGAAUACCGAUGGCGAAGGCAGCCAUCUGGCCUAAUACUGACACUGAGGUGCGAAAGCAUGGGGAGCAAACAGGAUUAGAAACCCUGGUAGUCC